UACGGAGGGUGCGAGCGUUAAUCGGAAUUACUGGGCGUAAAGGGUGCGUAGGUUGUUGUUUAAGUUAUCUGUGAAAUACCUGGGCUUAACCUGGGCAGGUCAGCUAAUACUGAACGACUAGAGUAUAGGAGAGGGUAGUGGAAUUUCCGGUGUAGCGGUGAAAUGCGUAGAGAUCGGAAGGAACACCGGUGGCGAAGGCGGCUACCUGGCCUAAUACUGACACUGAGGCACGAAAGCGUGGGGAGCAAACAGG
RNAcentral lists this ribosomal RNA (253 nucleotides) under uncultured bacterium. Its description in RNAcentral is "partial 16S ribosomal RNA". It matches the Rfam family "Bacterial small subunit ribosomal RNA", at positions 524 to 776 of the family's 1533-position model. The record is from RNAcentral.